This 492-nucleotide ribosomal RNA is filed under the name uncultured bacterium. RNAcentral describes it as "partial 16S ribosomal RNA". It matches the Rfam family "Bacterial small subunit ribosomal RNA", at positions 28 to 507 of the family's 1533-position model. The record is from RNAcentral.
AUUGAACGCUGGCGGCAUGCUUUACACAUGCAAGUCGAACGGUAACAGGCCUUCGGGUGCUGACGAGUGGCGAACGGGUGAGUAAUGCAUCGGAACGUACCCAGAGGUGGGGGAUAACGCAGCGAAAGCUGUGCUAAUACCGCAUGUGAUCUGAGGAUGAAAGCGGGGGACCGAGCAGCAAUGUUUGGCCUCGCGCCUUUGGAGCGGCCGAUGUCGGAUUAGCUAGUGGGGGGGGUAAAGGCCUACCAGGGCGACGAUCCGCAGCUGGUCUGAGUGGACGGUCGGCCGCAUGGGGACGGAGACAGCGACAAGACGCCUGAGGGACGGAGCAGUGGGGAACUGGAGGCAGUGGGGGCGAAUCUGGCCCAGCGGGGGCGAGCGCGAGACGGAGGCGCUCGGGUUGGAAACCCGUUCUGGCAGGAACGAAACGGUUUCCGCUAAUACCGGGCGCGAGUGACGGUACCGGGAGAAUAAGCACCGGCUAACUACGUG